GCGAACGGGUGAGUAACACGUGGGUAAUCUGCCCUGCACUCUGGGAUAAGCCUGGGAAACUGGGUCUAAUACUGGAUAUGACCUUUCUCCUUAUGGGGUUUGGUGGAAAGUUUUUCGGUGUAGGAUGAGCCCGCGGCCUAUCAGCUUGUUGGUGGGGUGAUGGCCUACCAAGGCGACGACGGGUAGCCGGCCUGAGAGGGUGAUCGGCCACAUUGGGACUGAGAUACGGCCCAG
RNAcentral lists this ribosomal RNA (234 nucleotides) under uncultured Actinomycetales bacterium. RNAcentral describes it as "partial 16S ribosomal RNA". It matches the Rfam family "Bacterial small subunit ribosomal RNA", at positions 98 to 334 of the family's 1533-position model. Lineage: Bacteria; Bacillati; Actinomycetota; Actinomycetes; Actinomycetales. The record is from RNAcentral.